CUACGGACUUAAUUGGAUUGAGCCUUGGUAUAGAAACCUACUAAGUGGUAACUUUCAAAUUCAGAGAAACCCCAGAAUUAAUAAAAAUGGGCAAUCCUGAGCCAAAUCCUGUUUUCCCAAAACAAAGGUUCAGAAAGAAAAAAUGAUAGGUGCAGAGACUCAAUGGAAAUUGUUCUAACAAAUGGAGUGGACUGCGUUGGUAGAGGAAUCUUUCCAUCGAAACUUCAGAAAGGAUGAAGGAUAAACGUAUAUAUUGAAUAAUAUAU
Molecule: non-coding RNA, 266 nt
Filed under: Olea europaea subsp. europaea
Lineage: Eukaryota; Viridiplantae; Streptophyta; Magnoliopsida; Lamiales; Oleaceae
Rfam family: Group I catalytic intron
About the family: Group I catalytic introns are large self-splicing ribozymes.
Source: RNAcentral